Non-coding RNA from Meloidogyne enterolobii, 84 nucleotides. NCBI's taxonomy places the organism in Eukaryota, Metazoa, Nematoda, Chromadorea, Rhabditida, Meloidogynidae. The record is from the annotation of a GenBank genome assembly.
GUAUCUCUAGCCUAGUGGUAGCGUGUUGUGUUAGCAAUCCAAAUUUGUCGGUAUGGGUUGAAGGUUCGAUUCCUUUUAGGUUCU